CCGGCGACGAUGGACCUCGCGCGCGCGCGCGCGAGCGCGUACGAACGGUUACGAUCGGUCGGGGCGUUUCGCGGCGACGACGCGACGCGUCGGGCGACGCGGGACGCGGACGACGCGAUCGAGUGGAUUCAAAAGUCAUUCAGACAGCUCGAGACUUUGAGCGACGACGACGAGGAGGAGGAGGAAGACGAUGGACGCGCGGUGCGUCGCGCGUCGAACGCGUCGCGCGUCGCGCGGUUCGCGUUGGUGUUUUGGUACGAGAGCGUGCGCGUGCGAAAGGGAGCGCGCGCGAGGACGCGCGAGGGGUGACGUCGGGACGCCUUCGGGACGACAAACGUCG
Molecule: long non-coding RNA, 340 nt
Filed under: Ostreococcus sp. 'lucimarinus'
Lineage: Eukaryota; Viridiplantae; Chlorophyta; Mamiellophyceae; Mamiellales; Bathycoccaceae
Description: long non-coding RNA (OLUC_LNC000032)
Source: RNAcentral